CCGAAACUUCGGCCGGCCGCAUAGCUCACACGCGCGUUACGCUCGUACACACAACCACGUUGCUCUGGUCCCACGCACCGCUUCCUGCCUCUCACCUUAUCUUCUCAGGACCAAGCUCCUCCACUCAUUCUGUCCUCCACUCGUUCCAUCCUCCUCCUCAUACGCAUUCCCUCCUCUGCUUCUUCUUUCUCAAAUCACUUCAUACAUGGCAUCUCAUGCUCCACGCAGAGACGGCGCGUACAGCCGUCGAUUUUUUUGUUGCCAUGCUCGGCCCAACCUCUCCCAUGUCGCAGUGUAGGCCAUGUUCGCUGCCACCGUGGUUCCGGCAUGCUUUUUUGCUGCAUAAUUUUUGCUGGAACCGCAAUUUGUUUUUGCUGGAAGCAUCUUUCGUUUUUGCUGCAUAUUGAGAGGAUGCUGGUGCCUUCGCUGUAUGAUUUUUUGCUACAUCCAUUUUUCUUGCUUGAACCGCUCCAUUUUUUCCUGGAACCAGAGCUCGACUUUGCUACAAUGCUAGGACGGUGGCUGCCAAGCAUUUUGCUGCAUCGAUUUUUUUGGCUGGAACUAGCAAUUAGUUUUGCUACAUCCAGCCGAAAGCAGAGCUGGAACUGGUGAGAUUUUUGUCUAAGACCAUUGGCGGCAGCGCAUUUUUUGCUGGAACUGUGUUACUUUUUUGCUGGAAUAGUUUUUCAUUUAUGCUACCACUAGCGAAAACCAUUUUUUUGUUGUUGAAGCAUUUUUGCUGGAACCAGCAACCACGAAAGCUACAACCGGUUAACAAUUUUGCUACAAUGGCGACGGCGGGCGACAUCGACGAGCUUUUUUUUGCUGGAACCGACACCCUUUUUUGCUACAACUGGAUGACAUUUUUGCUGCUACCGGCAAUCUGAGGGAGAGUACAGGUUUUUUGCGAGCUCGUCGGAGGAGGUGCUGCGCCCGGCGACCGCCGUGCGCCGGGGAUGCGGCGGCCGCCACCGGAGCUGUGACUGUCGAAACGGGGACCUGCAACUACAGGGACAAGCUGUUGCAUUCGCGGAGCCGGCGAGAAACAAAAGAGACGACGACGGCAACGGCGGCGCCGGCGGCCGGCAAGGGCGGCGACAGGCGAAAUACGCCGGGCAGAGCUUCUAGAUCGGGCGCAUCGCUCGUCCCUGACGGCGCGAUGGGAUUUUUUAUCAGAGAACAACAAGACAGAGGAGGAAGGGUAGGAGAUCGUGCGGUUCAUUUUUGCAGAUCGUACGGUACCGGUGCGACCGGCCCAAAUUUGGGCCGGCGCACCGGCGCCUAUCAGUCGCCUUAAACACAAUCACGUGAAUUGAACAUGUGCGCUUGGUUCGGCUUGUACGAGUCUUAUGUGAACUCCCGGCAAAAAAGAAAAAGUCUUGUGUGAACGUACGUUUAUACUACUCCGUUCAAUUUCUUUUAGACGGUCAAACAAAAAUGUUCCGACCCUCAACGUUCAUACUUGAUUCAUCUUUUUUUCACUUUUUGUCCCGCUUUAGACUACCUCACUUGCAUCGUUCACACUUCAAACCCUAUAAAAGAAAAAUAAAUAUUAUUUACUAACUAAAAGCCAUGGCUACCACUUUCGGAGCACAUGAGUUCUUACAUGUAUUUUCUUUAACUAACACGGUGGCACUUUCAAAUGUGACGGUGUUAUCUUUAAUGCGUCAAAAGUGUUAGAAGAUUAAAGGUCCUA
This 1696-nucleotide ribosomal RNA is filed under the name Triticum aestivum (bread wheat). RNAcentral describes it as "partial small subunit ribosomal RNA". The record is from RNAcentral. Lineage: Eukaryota; Viridiplantae; Streptophyta; Magnoliopsida; Poales; Poaceae.